AAGGCUUGACAUACACCGGAAACGGCCAGAGAUGGUUGCCCCCUUGUGGUCGGUGUACAGGUGGUGCAUGGUUGUCGUCAGCUCGUGUCGUGAGAUGUUGGGUUAAGUCCCGCAACGAGCGCAACCCUCGUUCUAUGUUGCCAGCGCGUUAUGGCGGGGACUCAUAGGAGACUGCCGGGGUCAACUCGGAGGAAGGUGGGGAUGACGUCAAAUCAUCAUGCCCCUUAUGUCUUGGGCUUCACGCAUGCUACAAUGGCCGGUACAAAGGGCUGCGAUACCGUAAGGUGGAGCGAAUCCCAAAAAGCCGGUCUCAGUUCGGAUUGAGGUCUGCAACUCGACCUCAUGAAGUCGGAGUCGCUAGUAAUCGCAGAUCAGCAACGCUGCGGUGAAUACGUUCCCGGGCCUU
This 406-nucleotide ribosomal RNA is filed under the name uncultured Curtobacterium sp. RNAcentral's name for it is "bacterial SSU rRNA". It matches the Rfam family "Bacterial small subunit ribosomal RNA", at positions 976 to 1382 of the family's 1533-position model. Lineage: Bacteria; Bacillati; Actinomycetota; Actinomycetes; Micrococcales; Microbacteriaceae. The record is from RNAcentral.